AAUAGAUACCCGGGUAGUCCACGCUGUAAACGAUGGGCACUAGGUGUGGGGGGUGUCGACUCCCUCCGUGCCGAAGCUAACGCAUUAAGUGCCCCGCCUGGGGAGUACGGCCGCAAGGCUAAAACUCAAAGGAAUUGACGGGGGCCCGCACAAGCAGCGGAGCAUGUGGUUUAAUUCGACGCAACGCGAAGAACCUUACCUGGGCUUGACAUGUUCCUGACAUCCCUGGAAACAGGGCUUCCCUUCGGGGCAGGAUCACAGGUGGUGCAUGGCUGUCGUCAGCUCGUGUCGUAAGAUGUUGGGUUAAGUCCCGCAACGAGCGCAACCCCCGUCGCAUGUUGCCAGCAUUUAGUUGGGGACUCAUGCGAGACUGCCGGUGACAAACCGGAGGAAGGUGGGGAUGGCGUCAAGUCAUCAUGCCCCUUAUGUCCAGGGCUACACACGUGCUACAUUGGCGCGUACAGAGGGCUGCGAUACCGCGAGGUGGAGCGAAUCCCUUAAAGCGCGUCUCGGUUCGGAUUGCAGGCUGAAACCCGCCG
Molecule: ribosomal RNA, 539 nt
Filed under: uncultured bacterium
Lineage: Bacteria
Description: bacterial SSU rRNA
Rfam family: Bacterial small subunit ribosomal RNA
Source: RNAcentral